AGGGUUCGGACUUUGGGUUUUGCGAUUGAAUUGAUGGAGAGAUUGGGGUCGCCGCCGGAUACGGAGUCGUUCGGGUACGUUAGCUGCGAGGAGGUGAGCGUCUCGAUGGAUAAAGGGAGGAGAGAGGUUCGCUAUUACUUGAAAAGGAUAGACGGAGGAUUGGAUCUGGCCGUCAUAGGAAAGAGACGAGCUCUAGGCAUUCUUCUUAUCACUACGCUGUUAAGAAUAGAUCAAUUUUAUUGUCCACGAGACCUUUGAAGCUCAAGUCCAGACGAG
Molecule: unclassified non-coding RNA, 276 nt
Filed under: Hevea brasiliensis (rubber tree)
Lineage: Eukaryota; Viridiplantae; Streptophyta; Magnoliopsida; Malpighiales; Euphorbiaceae
Source: RNAcentral